CGGCAAACAAGACUCAGAAUUUAGGUGCUCCAUGUCCUCAAUUUCAUCCUUGUCUUCCCACAUAUCCCAAUUCCAGUUUCCAGGAUACUAUUCUUACAGGAUACCAUUGAUCAAGUGAUUCUCCCUUCUCAGCCUCCCAAGUAGCUGGGACUACAGCCACGUGCCACCAUGCCCAGCUAAUUUUUGUAUUUUUAGUAGAGAUGGGGUUUCAUGAUGUUGGCCAGGAUGGUCUCGAUCUCUUGACCUCUUCAUCCGCCCACCUCGGCCUCCCAAAGUGCUGGGAUUACAGACAUGAGCCACCGCACCCAGCCACACCUGGCUAACUUAAAAAAAUUUUUUGGAGAUGAGGUCUCACUGUGUUGCCUAGGCUGGUUUGAACUCCUGGCCUCAAGCGAUCCUCCUGCCUCAGCCUCCCAGAAUGCUGAGAUUUCCAGCA
RNAcentral lists this long non-coding RNA (436 nucleotides) under Pan troglodytes (chimpanzee). RNAcentral's name for it is "long non-coding RNA NONPTRT008337". Lineage: Eukaryota; Metazoa; Chordata; Mammalia; Primates; Hominidae. The record is from RNAcentral.